GCAUUCUAUUUCACAUCAUCACAAGGAAGGAUGGACUUUUGCUCCUGUUGCCCAUGCUGGAGUACAAUGGUGCAAUCUCGGCUCACUGCAAACCUCCGCCUCCAGGUUCAAGCAAUUUUCGUGCCUCAGCCUCCCGAGUAGCUGGAAAUACAGGCAUGAACCACCAUGCCUGGCUAAUUUUUCUAUUUUUAGUGGAGACGGGGUUUCUCCGUGUUAGUCAGGCUGGUCUCGAACUCCCAAACUCAGGUGAUCUGCCCACUUUGGCCUCCGAAAGUGCUGGGAUUACAGGUAUGAGCCACCGCACCCAGCCAAAAUGACACACUUUUAAGUGGAAUAUCCAUGUCUAAAGCAACUAGCUCCUGAUAUAAAAUGGUAACGUCCAUGCCUACUUAUUUUAUCCUUAAUACAAGUCAGCCAUUUGUUCACAGUGGAAGCACAACUUCCUCAUACUAUGACCAGGCAUUCAUCCAAUGGGUCCUCAUGGGACGACACUAUGAUACAGAAAUAUACUAAAUGGAAGCCUUGGCUUUAUAAGUCUUUGUCUCCUAAUUUCUUCUAUACAGACUGUUGAAUUCACAGUACAAUUACAAUUCAAAAAA
Molecule: long non-coding RNA, 599 nt
Filed under: Homo sapiens (human)
Lineage: Eukaryota; Metazoa; Chordata; Mammalia; Primates; Hominidae
Description: HSALNT0369340
Source: RNAcentral